ACGGGAGGCAGCAGUGGGGAAUAUUGCACAAUGGGGGAAACCCUGAUGCAGCGACGCCGCGUGGGUGAUGAAGUAUUUCGGUACGUAAAGCCCUAUCAGCAGGGAAGAUAAUGACGGUACCUGACUAAGAAGCUCCGGCUAAAUACGUGCCAGCAGCCGCGGUAAUACGUAUGGAGCAAGCGUUAUCCGGAUUUACUGGGUGUAAAGGGAGCGCAGGCGGUUUAGUAAGUUGGGUGUGAAAACCCGGGGCUCAACCUCGGGACUGCACCCAAACUGCCAAACUAGAGUAUCGGAGGGGCAAGCGGAAUUCCUAGUGUAGCGGUGAAAUGCGUAGAUAUUAGGAGGAACACCGGUGGCGAAGGCGGCUUGCUGGACGAUAACUGACGCUGAGGCUCGAAAGCGUGGGGAGCAAACAGGAUUAGAUACCCUGGUA
Molecule: ribosomal RNA, 433 nt
Filed under: uncultured Lachnospiraceae bacterium
Lineage: Bacteria; Bacillati; Bacillota; Clostridia; Lachnospirales; Lachnospiraceae
Description: partial 16S ribosomal RNA
Rfam family: Bacterial small subunit ribosomal RNA
Source: RNAcentral